This is a long non-coding RNA of Lycium barbarum (goji berry), 558 nucleotides long. RefSeq lists it as uncharacterized. The record is from RefSeq and is a predicted model, not a curated record. The transcript is spliced from 3 exons. Lineage: Eukaryota; Viridiplantae; Streptophyta; Magnoliopsida; Solanales; Solanaceae.
CUAAAAACCCUAGGCGCCGCCUCGAGAGAUUUCUCUCUCUUCGUGUCAUUCAUGCCGGAAAUAGCAAUGUUUGUGGGCCAACAAGGCUUGUGCAGUCUUAGUAUGGUUUUUUGGGGCAAAGCAAUUAAUUCUUGCCCACUUUCCACCGCGAUUCAACCAGAAACACGAUCUUGGGGAGCUCGAGACUUGAGUUGCGAUUAGCUUAGGAGGCGAGCGAGGUGCAGACGUUCGUUCUGGUGACCCGCCAGUGUAGGAUACCUAUUCUGCUACUUUGGAGCGCUCCCUUUGAUCCGGAGCCCAUAUUUUUGGUACAUAUCUUUGUUGUACAUGUUUCUGUAUAUAUAUGACUAUUUGGGGUACGGCGGGGCCCUGUCCCGUCAUAUGUUUCUGUUGUGGUUUGUAGAGGCCUGUAGACUUAUAUGUGGGUCAUGGGUCAUUAUUGUUCGUUUAUGUCUGUGAUCGGUGUCUUAAGCGGUCCGUUUGCUGUGAUGGCCGAUACGGCCCAUAUGUGUGUGUCUGGACGUAUAUAUUUUGGGCGAUGUGUUUUCCGUCAGCCUC